GGUUGAAGGUUGGGUAACACUAACUGGAGGACCGAACCGACUAAUGUUGAAAAAUUAGCGGAUGACUUGUGGCUGGGGGUGAAAGGCCAAUCAAACCGGGAGAUAGCUGGUUCUCCCCGAAAGCUAUUUAGGUAGCGCCUCGUGAAUUCAUCUCCGGGGGUAGAGCACUGUUUCGGCAAGGGGGUCAUCCCGACUUACCAACCCGAUGCAAACUGCGAAUACCGGAGAAUGUUAUCACGGGAGACACACGGCGGGUGCUAACGUCCGUCGUGAAGAGGGAAACAACCCAGACCGCCAGCUAAGGUCCCAAAGUCAUGGUUAAGUGGGAAACGAUGUGGGAAGGCCCAGACAGCCAGGAUGUUGGCUUAGAAGCAGCCAUCAUUUAAAGAAAGCGUAAUAGCUCACUGGUCGAGUCGGCCUGCGCGGAAGAUGUAACGGGGCUAAACCAUGCACCGAAGCUGCGGCAGCGACACUGUGUGUUGUUGGGUAGGGGAGCGUUCUGUAAGCCUGUGAAGGUGUGCUGUGAGGCAUGCUGGAGGUAUCAGAAGUGCGAAUGCUGACAUAAGUAACGAUAAAGCGGGUGAAAAGCCCGCUCGCCGGAAGACCAAGGGUUCCUGUCCAACGUUAAUCGGGGCAGGGUGAGUCGACCCCUAAGGCGAGGCCGAAAGGCGUAGUCGAUGGGAAACAGGUUAAUAUUCCUGUACUUGGUGUUACUGCGAAGGGGGGACGGAGAAGGCUAUGUUGGCCGGGCGACGGUUGUCCCGGUUUAAGCGUGUAGGCUGGUUUUCCAGGCAAAUCCGGAAAAUCAAGGCUGAGGCGUGAUGACGAGGCACUACGGUGCUGAAGCAACAAAUGCCCUGCUUCCAGGAAAAGCCUCUAAGCAUCAGGUAACAUCAAAUCGUACCCCAAACCGACACAGGUGGUCAGGUAGAGAAUACCAAGGCGCUUGAGAGAACUCGGGUGAAGGAACUAGGCAAAAUGGUGCCGUAACUUCGGGAGAAGGCACGCUGAUAUGUAGGUGAAGUCCCUCGCGGAUGGAGCUGAAAUCAGUCGAAGAUACCAGCUGGCUGCAACUGUUUAUUAAAAACACAGCACUGUGCAAACACGAAAGUGGACGUAUACGGUGUGACGCCUGCCCGGUGCCGGAAGGUUAAUUGAUGGGGUCAGCGCAAGCGAAGCUCUUGAUCGAAGCCCCGGUAAACGGCGGCCGUAACUAUAACGGUCCUAAGGUAGCGAAAUUCCUUGUCGGGUAAGUUCCGACCUGCACGAAUGGCGUAAUGAUGGCCAGGCUGUCUCCACCCGAGACUCAGUGAAAUUGAACUCGCUGUGAAGAUGCAGUGUACCCGCGGCAAGACGGAAAGACCCCGUGAACCUUUACUAUAGCUUGACACUGAACAUUGAGCCUUGAUGUGUAGGAUAGGUGGGAGGCUUUGAAGUGUGGACGCCAGUCUGCAUGGAGCCGACCUUGAAAUACCACCCUUUAAUGUUUGAUGUUCUAACGUGGACCCGUGAUCCGGGUUGCGGACAGUGUCUGGUGGGUAGUUUGACUGGGGCGGUCUCCUCCUAAAGAGUAACGGAGGAGCACGAAGGUUGGCUAAUCCUGGUCGGACAUCAGGAGGUUAGUGCAAUGGCAUAAGCCAGCUUGACUGCGAGCGUGACGGCGCGAGCAGGUGCGAAAGCAGGUCAUAGUGAUCCGGUGGUUCUGAAUGGAAGGGCCAUCGCUCAACGGAUAAAAGGUACUCCGGGGAUAACAGGCUGAUACCGCCCAAGAGUUCAUAUCGACGGCGGUGUUUGGCACCUCGAUGUCGGCUCAUCACAUCCUGGGGCUGAAGUAGGUCCCAAGGGUAUGGCUGUUCGCCAUUUAAAGUGGUACGCGAGCUGGGUUUAGAACGUCGUGAGACAGUUCGGUCCCUAUCUGCCGUGGGCGCUGGAGAACUGAGGGGGGCUGCUCCUAGUACGAGAGGACCGGAGUGGACGCAUCACUGGUGUUCGGGUUGUCAUGCCAAUGGCACUGCCCGGUAGCUAAAUGCGGAAGAGAUAAGUGCUGAAAGCAUCUAAGCACGAAACUUGCCCCGAGAUGAGUUCUCCCUGACCCUUUAAGGGUCCUGAAGGAACGUUGAAGACGACGACGUUGAUAGGCCGGGUGUGUAAGCGCAGCGAUGCGUUGAGCUAACCGGUACUAAUGAACCGUGAGGCUUAACCUU
This 2204-nucleotide ribosomal RNA is filed under the name Escherichia coli. RNAcentral's name for it is "partial 23S ribosomal RNA". It matches the Rfam family "Bacterial large subunit ribosomal RNA", at positions 743 to 2925 of the family's 2925-position model. The record is from RNAcentral. Lineage: Bacteria; Pseudomonadati; Pseudomonadota; Gammaproteobacteria; Enterobacterales; Enterobacteriaceae.